Neopelma chrysocephalum (saffron-crested tyrant-manakin) is the source of this 346-nucleotide long non-coding RNA. RefSeq lists it as uncharacterized. The transcript has 2 exons. NCBI's taxonomy places the organism in Eukaryota, Metazoa, Chordata, Aves, Passeriformes, Pipridae. The record is from RefSeq and is a predicted model, not a curated record.
UUCAGUGGACAUGAACUGAGGUGUUGAAAUGGCCUGCAAGUGAAGAAUGGGAGGACCCUCUAGUUCCUAAAGAAGUGCUUCCUGAAAGAAAACAUAAAAAAUAUUAGAAAGUAUGUGAAUCAACCUUCUGGGCCCAAAGAUGAUCUGGACAUGGAAAAAGAUGAAGUUGUGUUACUAAGAUACCUUUGAACAUUUCAAGAAGUGGUGCUGAGAGCUGCAAUGCCAGCUCAAUCAAAGCUCUGAUAUUUGCUGCUAUCUCCAUGCAUGUUUACAGCAGCUGACAUAUGAAAAGCCAGGGAAUAAUUUGAGUUUGCAAGCUAUGAAAUAAGUCCAUUUUGGAUCUGAA